UUUCUCGCUUCAUCUGUGCCACUUCUCUGCAUUCGGUAUGGCGCCUUGUACUUCUAUCCAACGUUGCCCGCUCCCCAUCUUCCCUGCCCACCAGCUCACUGCCCUCGGUCCGCAUCUCCGGAUGUUUCGUGAGAUAUGGAGCCUGCCACCAGGGAACCGGAUUUUUCCGUCUCGUCCAUGGAAGCACGGGUGAUGGCCGCAUGCGCAGUGAUAACUCAGCGACUCGCGCCUUUUGACCACUGUUGAGAUGAAGAUUGUGAGGAGGGAGACCAGAAGAUAACAGACGAGGACACAGCAGAAGGGCCUGGUCACACUUGAGCUUAUUUCUUGGAAGAGUCUGAGAAGACAGCCUGUCAGGCUCCUAACACCAAGGGCCAUGUAACCUGUGAAGCAGCCAUUAUACAUGAUUUGGUCUACACUUGCUGGGUAAGUUUAAGGAUUGUUAACCCUUUUCCUAAGUAGUAUAGCAGAAAUUCAGGUUUGCACAGUGGCUAGCCAGCUAUAAGCCACCUCCAUAAUUUAUGUCUGGCCUGUGUACUGAACUAGUUAGCUGUUCACACCUGGGGCAUGCUUGCCAUGCUGGUUGGUUAGUAUUUGUCCAUUGAAGAACAUUGCAUGAGUACAAUCAGACACUGGUCCAUGAUGAAACCCAUUAUCAGUGGACAUCUAUGGAUGAGAAAUGCGGAUAUGGGACUGAGACCAGUUCUUAGGAAAGCCUGAGUUGGGGGUUGAGUCUGAAGGUGGAACUAACAUAGACUUGCACUUCCUUUUCAGAAAAAAUCUACAAGAGGAUCCGGAAGCUAGCCGACAUUUUUGGCUAGUACAUAGCCAGGCAGCCAUUGGAAUCAGAGCUGCAGACAGAUUAAGGCCAGCCUGGCCUACAUUGAGAAACCUCAUUUUGGAAAAGUGGAAUAAUCUGUAAAUUAACAUGCAGUUGGUUCAAUAAAGACUUUUGGAAAG
This 960-nucleotide long non-coding RNA is filed under the name Mus caroli (Ryukyu mouse). RNAcentral's name for it is "lncRNA (MGP_CAROLIEiJ_G0005939.1)". The stretch from base 632 to 705 matches the Rfam family "Small nucleolar RNA SNORD99". Lineage: Eukaryota; Metazoa; Chordata; Mammalia; Rodentia; Muridae. The record is from RNAcentral.